GUAGGGGGCAAGCGUUGUCCGGAAUGACUGGGCGUAAAGGGAGUGUAGGCGGCUUAUCAAGUUAGAUGUGAAAUCCCGCGGCUUAACCGCGGAACUGCAUCUAAAACUGGUGAGCUGGAGUGCAGGAGAGGUGAGUGGAAUUCCUAGUGUAGCGGUGGAAUGCGUAGAUAUUAGGAGGAACACCAGAGGCGAAGGCGACUCACUGGACUGUAACUGACGCUGAGGCUCGAAAGCGUGGGGAGCAAA
This 246-nucleotide ribosomal RNA is filed under the name uncultured bacterium. RNAcentral describes it as "partial 16S ribosomal RNA". It matches the Rfam family "Bacterial small subunit ribosomal RNA", at positions 527 to 772 of the family's 1533-position model. The record is from RNAcentral.